This 68-nucleotide transfer RNA is filed under the name Cassistrellus dimissus (Surat serotine). Its description in RNAcentral is "tRNA-Val". The record is from RNAcentral. Lineage: Eukaryota; Metazoa; Chordata; Mammalia; Chiroptera; Vespertilionidae.
CAAAGUGUAGCUUAAAUUAAAGCAUCCAGCCUACACCCGGAUAAUUUCAAUCCUUUUGAACACUUUGA